RNAcentral lists this ribosomal RNA (497 nucleotides) under uncultured bacterium. RNAcentral's name for it is "partial 16S ribosomal RNA". It matches the Rfam family "Bacterial small subunit ribosomal RNA", at positions 28 to 507 of the family's 1533-position model. The record is from RNAcentral.
GAUGAACGCUGGCGGCGUGCCUAAUACAUGCAAGUCGAGCGAACGGACGAGAAGCUUGCUUCUCUGAUGUUAGCGGCGGACGGGUGAGUAACACGUGGAUAACCUACCUAUAAGACUGGGAUAACUUCGGGAAACCGUAGCUAAUACCGGAUAAUAUUUUGAACCGCAUGGUUCAAAAGUGAAAGACGGUCUUGCUGUCACUUAUAGAUGGAUCCGCGCUGCAUUAGCUAGUUGGUAAGGUAACGGCUUACCAAGGCAACGAUGCAUAGCCGACCUGAGAGGGUGUGGACACACAGGGGAACAGAGACGGGGUCCAGCCUCCUGGGGGAGGAAGCAGUGGGAAUUCUUCCAGAGGGGGCGAAGGCCGGACGGAGAAACGCCGGGGGAUGAAGGAAGGUUUUGGGAUCUAAAACCUUUUUUAUGGGGAAAGAACAUUUGUGUAAGUAUGUGUCCACAUUUGGAGGGUACUUAAUAAAAAACCCACGCCUAGCUACGUC